This 85-nucleotide transfer RNA is filed under the name Crocuta crocuta (spotted hyena). It matches the Rfam family "tRNA". Rfam says of the family: Transfer RNA (tRNA) molecules are approximately 80 nucleotides in length. Their secondary structure includes four short double-helical elements and three loops (D, anti-codon, and T loops). The record is from Rfam by way of RNAcentral. Lineage: Eukaryota; Metazoa; Chordata; Mammalia; Carnivora; Hyaenidae. RNAcentral also lists the same sequence under 1 other name.
GCCUGGGUGGCUCAGUCGGUUAAGUGUCUGACUUCGGCUCAGGUCAUGAUCUCACAGUUCGUGGGUUCGAGCCCCGCAUCAGGCU